GGGGGGAGCAAGCGUUGUUCGGAUUUACUGGGCGUAAAGGGCGGGUAGGCGGCCACCGCAAGUCAGUUGUGAAAUCUCUGGGCUUAACCCAGAAAGGUCAACUGAUACUGCGGGGCUAGAGUGCAGAAGGGGCAACUGGAAUUCUCGGUGUAGCGGUGAAAUGCGUAGAUAUCGAGAGGAACACCUGCGGCGAAGGCGGGUUGCUGGGCUGACACUGACGCUGAACUGCGAAAGCUAGGGGAGCGAACGGGAUUAGAUACCCCGGUAGUCCUAGCCUUAAACGAUGAAUGCUUGGUGUCUGGGGUUUUAUAGUCCCCGGGUGCCGUCGCUAACGCUUUAAGCAUUCCGCCUGGGGAGUACGGUCGCAAGACGUG
Molecule: ribosomal RNA, 374 nt
Filed under: uncultured bacterium
Lineage: Bacteria
Description: bacterial SSU rRNA
Rfam family: Bacterial small subunit ribosomal RNA
Source: RNAcentral